GGUACGGCUAAUCAGAUGAGUGGGUUUGAACCCUUUUCAUGGGGGUUUAGGGUCCUCCCCGUAUCU
This 66-nucleotide transfer RNA is filed under the name Crassadoma gigantea. RNAcentral describes it as "tRNA-Ser". The record is from RNAcentral. Lineage: Eukaryota; Metazoa; Mollusca; Bivalvia; Pectinida; Pectinidae.